UAGGGAAUCUUCGGCAAUGGACGAAAGUCUGACCGAGCAACGCCGCGUGAGUGAAGAAGGUUUUCGGAUCGUAAAACUCUGUUGUUAGAGAGGAACAAGGACGUUAGUAACUGAACGUCCCCUGACGGUAUCUAACCAGAAAGCCACGGCUAACUACGUGCCAGCAGCCGCGGUAAUACGUAGGUGGCAAGCGUUGUCCGGAUUUAUUGGGCGUAAAGCGAGCGCAGGCGGUUUCUUAAGUCUGAUGUGAAAGCCCCCGGCUCAACCGGGGAGGGUCAUUGGAAACUGGGAGACUUGAGUGCAGAAGAGGAGAGUGGAAUUCCAUGUGUAGCGGUGAAAUGCGUAGAUAUAUGGAGGAACACCAGUGGCGAAGGCGGCUCUCUGGUCUGUAACUGACGCUGAGGCUCGAAAGCGUGGGGAGCAAACAGG
RNAcentral lists this ribosomal RNA (429 nucleotides) under Gemmatimonadota bacterium. RNAcentral describes it as "Gemmatimonadetes bacterium partial 16S ribosomal RNA". It matches the Rfam family "Bacterial small subunit ribosomal RNA", at positions 355 to 776 of the family's 1533-position model. The record is from RNAcentral. Lineage: Bacteria; Pseudomonadati; Gemmatimonadota.